GUCGAGCGGUCUUUUCGGAGAUAGCGGCGCACGGGUGAGUAACGCGUACGUACCUGCCUUACACACGGGGACACAAACUGGAAACGGAGUAAAUACCCGAUGGACUCGCGAGAGUAAAGCUACGGCGGUGUAAGAUGGGCGUGCGUCUGAUUAGGUAGUUGGUAAGGUAACGGCUUACCAAGCCGACGAUCAGUAGGGGGCGUGAGAGCGUGGUCCCCCACACGGGUACUGAGACACGGACCCGACUCCUACGGGAGGCAGCAGUAAGGAAUAUUGGUCAAUGCCCGCAAGGGUGAACCAGCCAUCCCGCGUGCAGGAUGAAGGUCCUAUGGAUUGUAAACUGCUUUUCUAUUAGAAGAAAUGAAUACCUGCGGGUGUUUUUGACGGUACAAUAGGAAUAAGCACCGGCUAACUCCGUGCCAGCAGCCGCGGUAAUACGGAGGGUGCAAGCGUUAUCCGGAAUCACUGGGUUUAAAGGGUGCGUAGGCUGCUGCAUAAGUCAGGGGUGAAAGUUUGUCGCUUAACGAUAGAAUUGCCUUUGAUACUGUGCGGCUUGAAAUUAGGUGAGGUUGGCGGAAUGUGACAUGUAGCGGUGAAAUGCGUAGAUAUGUCAUAGAACACCGAUUGCGAAGGCAGCUGGCUGACCUAAAUUUGACGCUGAGGCACGAAAGCGUGGGUAGCAAACAGGA
This 689-nucleotide ribosomal RNA is filed under the name uncultured bacterium. RNAcentral's name for it is "bacterial SSU rRNA". It matches the Rfam family "Bacterial small subunit ribosomal RNA", at positions 61 to 777 of the family's 1533-position model. The record is from RNAcentral.